Molecule: ribosomal RNA, 304 nt
Filed under: uncultured bacterium
Lineage: Bacteria
Description: bacterial SSU rRNA
Rfam family: Bacterial small subunit ribosomal RNA
Source: RNAcentral
AACGAACGCUGGCGGCAGGCUCAACACAUGCAAGUCGAACGGGUGCAGCAAUGCAUCAGUGGCAGACGGGUGCAAAACGCGUGGAAACCUAUCCUUGGGUUCGGAAUAACCGCGGGAAACUGCGGCUAAUACCGGAUACGUCCUUCGGGAGAAAGAUUUAUCGCCCAUUGAGGGGUCCGCGUCUGAUUAGCUAGUUGGUGAGGUAAUGGCUCACCAAGGCGACGAUCAGUAGCUGGUCUGAGAGGAUGAUCAGCCACACUGGAACUGAGACACGGUCCAGACUCCUACGGGAGGCAGCAGUGGG